This 403-nucleotide ribosomal RNA is filed under the name uncultured bacterium. RNAcentral describes it as "bacterial SSU rRNA". It matches the Rfam family "Bacterial small subunit ribosomal RNA", at positions 355 to 775 of the family's 1533-position model. The record is from RNAcentral.
UUGGGAAUCUUGGACAAUGGGGGAAACCCUGAUCCAGCCAUGCCGCGUGAGCGAUGAAGGCCUUCGGGUUGUAAAGCUCUUUCGCCAGGGACGAUAAUGACGGUACCUGGAUAAGAAGCCCCGGCUAACUUCGUGCCAGCAGCCGCGGUAAUACGAAGGGGGCUAGCGUUGUUCGGAAUUACUGGGCGUAAAGCGCGCGCAGGCGGCUUUUCAAGUCAGGGGUGAAAGCCCGGAGCUCAACUCCGGAACUGCCUUUGAAACUGUGAAGCUUGAGUACGGGAGAGGUGAGUGGAAUUCCCAGUGUAGAGGUGAAAUUCGUAGAUAUUGGGAAGAACACCGGUGGCGAAGGCGGCUCACUGGCCCGUUACUGACGCUCAGGCGCGACAGCGUGGGGAUCAAACAG